UGAAAAACGCCGGUCUUCGUUCGAUUACCGAAGUAAAGCAGCGUCGAGUCCUGUCGGUACUUGGAUGGGGGACCACUUAGAAACACCAGGUGCUGCGAU
Molecule: non-coding RNA, 99 nt
Organism: Acanthosepion pharaonis
Lineage: Eukaryota; Metazoa; Mollusca; Cephalopoda; Sepiida; Sepiidae
Source: the annotation of a GenBank genome assembly